UGGAGCCGACCUUAGACAUCCUAGUUAGCUGAGGACGCAAGCGCCACAGAGGUGCGUAGUGUGGGUAGAAGAGAGACAACGAGGACAUCGUGUGGACAAGCGACGAACUGCGUGAGUUCCGUCCGCAGCAGGAAGAACAGAAGAGGGGAGAAGGGCAGCGUAUGAAGAAAGCCCUCUGGAGAACAACAAGGAGGGAUAAGGCUGUCAGGCUCAGGCAGGACACUCACCAAGACAAAGCCUACCUCAUUUCCUGAAUCACUUCCUCCCCAGCCCAUCAUGGGAUUCAUCCUCAUCUGACUAAUGAUAUGAAUAUUACAAGUCCAGCCUGAUUACGAUAUAGUUGGCCCCUCGGGGGCCCUCAGGAUUAAGAGCCGUCUCAGUUACCCACAGAUAAACAAACACGGGUCACAAAUGUCAUCCAGCAGCAAACAGACGUCCUUGGUUGUACCAGUAGCAUUACGGUGACAGUAGCAGCAUGACGCAGGACUGCAGAUGGACGCCAGAUGAUGUCAUCUCUGAUUCAAGAUACAGCACAUCACAGCAGUACUACAGUCCAGGGCAAAACUCUGCUUCAGAGUUUCAACUCACAUCAAUCUGAGCGUCCCACUCGGCGAGAGGAAUACGCCGCCCGUAGUUCAGGAUGUGUCUGCCGAUGUCAUCACAAAUUGGUGUUGUUCCUAACCGACA
Scophthalmus maximus (turbot) is the source of this 687-nucleotide long non-coding RNA. RefSeq lists it as uncharacterized. The record is from RefSeq and is a predicted model, not a curated record. The transcript has 3 exons. NCBI's taxonomy places the organism in Eukaryota, Metazoa, Chordata, Actinopteri, Pleuronectiformes, Scophthalmidae.